UCUCUCUCUCUCUCUUCUUCUCUCUCUGUCUCUCCACCUCUCUCUCUCACCAGACAUUGGCAGGGCAAAGGAGAUCACUGUUGCCAGGAGAUUGUUUGCAUUCCCGGGUCUUUCUGGCAAGGCCUUCCUCUGAGUGGAGUCGAGUUGUGGAGCCUGGCAAGUCCAAGAUAAAGGAGCCAGCAGAUCCAGUGUCUGGCGAGAGGUUACUUCCUGCUUGCUUGUUUUGAUGAACAAGUGAUCACUCGGAGGCCCACAUAGACAGGAACUGAUGGCAGCCUCCAGCCAACAGUCAGUAAAAAAAGUGAGGCCCACAGUCCAACAGGCACAGGAAACUGAAUCCUGCCAACAACCAUGUGAGCUUAGAGGUGGAUACUUACCACUCAGCUUUCAGACGAGACCUCAGCCCUGGUUGACACUUUGAUUGCAGCCUCAUGAAAGACCUUGAAGCACCACCCCCAGUUAAGUCCUGCCUGGAUCCCUGACCCACAGAC
Molecule: long non-coding RNA, 491 nt
Filed under: Homo sapiens (human)
Lineage: Eukaryota; Metazoa; Chordata; Mammalia; Primates; Hominidae
Description: HSALNT0327226
Source: RNAcentral